Molecule: non-coding RNA, 1647 nt
Filed under: Saccharomyces cerevisiae PE-2
Lineage: Eukaryota; Fungi; Ascomycota; Saccharomycetes; Saccharomycetales; Saccharomycetaceae
Description: 15S ribosomal RNA
Rfam family: Bacterial small subunit ribosomal RNA
Source: RNAcentral
GUAAAAAUUUUAUAAGAAUAUGAUGUUGGUUCAGAUUAAGCGCUAAAUAAGGACAUGACACAUGCGAAUCAUACGUUUAUUAUUGAUAAGAUAAUAAAUAUGUGGUGUAAACGUGAGUAAUUUUAUUAGGAAUUAAUGAACUAUAGAAUAAGCUAAAUACUUAAUAUAUUAUUAUAUAAAAAUAAUUUAUAUAAUAAAAAGGAUAUAUAUAUAAUAUAUAUUUAUCUAUAGUCAAGCCAAUAAUGGUUUAGGUAGUAGGUUUAUUAAGAGUUAAACCUAGCCAACGAUCCAUAAUCGAUAAUGAAAGUUAGAACGAUCACGUUGACUCUGAAAUAUAGUCAAUAUCUAUAAGAUACAGCAGUGAGGAAUAUUGGACAAUGAUCGAAAGAUUGAUCCAGUUACUUAUUAGGAUGAUAUAUAAAAAUAUUUUAUUUUAUUUAAAAUAUUAAAUAUUUAUAAUAAUAAUAAUAAUAAUAUAUAUAUAUAAAUUGAUUAAAAAUAAAAUCCAUAAAUAAUUAAAAUAAUGAUAUUAAUUACCAUAUAUAUUUUUAUAUGGAUAUAUAUAUUAAUAAUAAUAUUAAUUUUAUUAUUAUUAAUAAUAUAUUUUAAUAGUCCUGACUAAUAUUUGUGCCAGCAGUCGCGGUAACACAAAGAGGGCGAGCGUUAAUCAUAAUGGUUUAAAGGAUCCGUAGAAUGAAUUAUAUAUUAUAAUUUAGAGUUAAUAAAAUUAAUUAAAGAAUUAUAAUAGUAAAGAUGAAAUAAUAAUAAUAAUUAUAAGACUAAUAUAUGUGAAAAUAUUAAUUAAAUAUUAACUGACAUUGAGGGAUUAAAACUAGAGUAGCGAAACGGAUUCGAUACCCGUGUAGUUCUAGUAGUAAACUAUGAAUACAAUUAUUUAUAAUAUAUAUUAUAUAUAAAUAAUAAAUGAAAAUGAAAGUAUUCCACCUGAAGAGUACGUUAGCAAUAAUGAAACUCAAAACAAUAGACGGUUACAGACUUAAGCAGUGGAGCAUGUUAUUUAAUUCGAUAAUCCACGACUAACCUUACCAUAUUUUGAAUAUUAUAAUAAUUAUUAUAAUUAUUAUAUUACAGGCGUUACAUUGUUGUCUUUAGUUCGUGCUGCAAAGUUUUAGAUUAAGUUCAUAAACGAACAAAACUCCAUAUAUAUAAUUUUAAUUAUAUAUAAUUUUAUAUUAUUUAUUAAUAUAAAGAAAGGAAUUAAGACAAAUCAUAAUGAUCCUUAUAAUAUGGGUAAUAGACGUGCUAUAAUAAAAUGAUAAUAAAAUUAUAUAAAAUAUAUUUAAUUAUAUUUAAUUAAUAAUAUAAAACAUUUUAAUUUUUAAUAUAUUUUUUUAUUAUAUAUUAAUAUGAAUUAUAAUCUGAAAUUCGAUUAUAUGAAAAAAGAAUUGCUAGUAAUACGUAAAUUAGUAUGUUACGGUGAAUAUUCUAACUGUUUCGCACUAAUCACUCAUCACGCGUUGAAACAUAUUAUUAUCUUAUUAUUUAUAUAAUAUUUUUUAAUAAAUAUUAAUAAUUAUUAAUUUAUAUUUAUUUAUAUCAGAAAUAAUAUGAAUUAAUGCGAAGUUGAAAUACAGUUACCGUAGGGGAACCUGCGGUGGGCUUAUAAAUAUCUUAAAUAUUCUUACA